Molecule: microRNA precursor, 156 nt
Filed under: Brassica oleracea var. oleracea
Lineage: Eukaryota; Viridiplantae; Streptophyta; Magnoliopsida; Brassicales; Brassicaceae
Description: MIR396 microRNA precursor family
Rfam family: MIR396 microRNA precursor family
Source: Rfam by way of RNAcentral
CUCUGUAUUCUUCCACAGCUUUCUUGAACUGCAACCUUCUUCAGAUUAGUUUCUAUUCUCACAUAUAUAUAUAUUACCAUAGCAUAGUUAUGUUAAUUUAAAUUGCAUCUGUUCGACUGAUUUGCGGUUCAAUAAAGCUGUGGGAAGAUACAGACA